This 266-nucleotide ribosomal RNA is filed under the name uncultured Glomus. RNAcentral's name for it is "partial 18S ribosomal RNA". It matches the Rfam family "Eukaryotic small subunit ribosomal RNA", at positions 548 to 817 of the family's 1831-position model. The record is from RNAcentral. Lineage: Eukaryota; Fungi; Glomeromycota; Glomeromycetes; Glomerales; Glomeraceae.
UUGGAGGGCAAGUCUGGUGCCAGCAGCCGCGGUAAUUCCAGCUCCAAUAGCGUAUAUUAAAGUUGUUGCAGUUAAAAAGCUCGUAGUUGAAUUUCGGGAUCAAUGUUUCGGUCAUGCCGUUGGUAUGUACUGAUAUUAUUGAUUUCUCACCUUCUAAAGAACCGUAAUGCCAUUAAUUUGGUGUCACGGGGAAUUAGGACUGUUACCUUAGAAAAAAUUAGAGUGUUUAGAGCAGGCUCACGCUUGAAUACAUUAGCAUGGAAUAA